GUGCUCGUUUCAGCAGCAUGUAUACUAAAAUUGGAGUGAUACAGAGAAGAUUAGCAUGGCCUCCGAGCAAGGAGGACAUGCAAAUUCAUAAAGUGUCCCAUAUUUNN
Cavia aperea (Brazilian guinea pig) is the source of this 107-nucleotide small nuclear RNA. NCBI's taxonomy places the organism in Eukaryota, Metazoa, Chordata, Mammalia, Rodentia, Caviidae. The record is from Ensembl.